Molecule: ribosomal RNA, 496 nt
Filed under: uncultured bacterium
Lineage: Bacteria
Description: partial 16S ribosomal RNA
Rfam family: Bacterial small subunit ribosomal RNA
Source: RNAcentral
AUGAACGCUGGCGGCGUGCCUAAUACAUGCAAGUCGAGCGAACGGACGAGAAGCUUGCUUCUCUGAUGUUAGCGGCGGACGGGUGAGUAACACGUGGAUAACCUACCUAUAAGACUGGGAUAACUUCGGGAAACCGGAGCUAAUACCGGAUAAUAUUUUGAACCGCAUGGUUCAAAAGUGAAAGACGGUCUUGCUGUCACUUAUAGAUGGAUCCGCGCUGCAUUAGCUAGUUGGUAAGGUAACGGCUUACCAAGGCAACGAUGCAUAGCCGACCUGAGAGGGUGAUCGGCCACACUGGAACUGAGACACGGUCCAGACUCCUACGGGAGGCAGCAGUAGGGAAUCUUCCGCAAUGGGCGAAAGCCUGACGGAGCAACGCCGCGUGAGUGAUGAAGGUCUUCGGAUCGUAAAACUCUGUUAUUAGGGAAGAACACAUGUGUAAGUAACUGUGCACAUCUUGACGGUACCUAAUCAGAAAGCCACGGCUAACUACGUG